This 253-nucleotide ribosomal RNA is filed under the name uncultured bacterium. Its description in RNAcentral is "partial 16S ribosomal RNA". It matches the Rfam family "Bacterial small subunit ribosomal RNA", at positions 524 to 776 of the family's 1533-position model. The record is from RNAcentral.
UACGGAGGGAGCUAGCGUUGUUCGGAAUUACUGGGCGUAAAGCGCACGUAGGCGGCUACUCAAGUCAGAGGUGAAAGCCCGGGGCUCAACCCCGGAACUGCCUUUGAAACUAGGUAGCUAGAAUCCUGGAGAGGUCAGUGGAAUUCCGAGUGUAGAGGUGAAAUUCGUAGAUAUUCGGAAGAACACCAGUGGCGAAGGCGACUGACCGGACAGGUAUUGACGCUGAGGUGCGAAAGCGUGGGGAGCAAACAGG